AACUUUUAUUGAAAUAUUCCACAACAAUUUGGGGUCAUGAACAGGAUACACUGACCGUCCGGGGAAAGGGCCCUUUCCAGGAUCACCAGCUGAUGAUCCUGCCUCAUACCUCCUUAGACAAGAGAGAAAGGACCGGCGGAAACCAGAGGAGUCCUGGUUGACGUCACGUGUAUCCAGCAGAAAAGAAUUCAUUUCUACAAACUCUGGUAAGAAGUUGAAAUUCCAAUUAUAAAGUAUGUUUAAGAACAUAACGGACACAGAUGACUGAUCAAGUGGUUGUGAUAGUUUGGGGAAUUAUUUUUUUAUUUUGAAGUAUUGUACAUGAUUCCGGAAUAUUUCCAAAGCAUCACUUCAUGCGGAUGUAGAUAGGAUUGUGUACGAUUAGGUUUUCACUCGGAACAAAUUCUCUGAGGUCGUAACGCAGAUCGCUUGACUACCCAGGUGAAAUAGGACCGUUGUUAUUCCCCAUUACGUGAAUUCUACUAAAAUAACUGUGAUAUUGAUAAUAACCGGGGUGAUAUCCAAACGUGAAUUCUACUGAAUUAACUCUCGAAUAAGAUUGUGGUAAUAACCUAACGUGAGUUUUCGCAAAGUUUUUCCUUGUAUAAAGAAACUACGCCUUGCGGUGACAACUGUAUUGUAAUAAGUAAACCGGUUGGGUCCAACGCCAGUAAAAGAUGGGUGGCCAGAACGCAAAGCAAACGGACCCCUCGGGUCCAAUUGUGGAAAUGAUGCAGCAGAAAUACGGGAAAACAUGUACGGAGUGUCUCCCAUUCUGGACAAAAGAGUUUGGGUUUCCAAAAAAACGGCUCGUUGAGUGCCGCUAAACUUAAAAUGUUACGAGGACUUUUGGAAGCAAGUGGUAAAAAGAUCAUAGUUAAAGAUUUAGAAAUAAUAGAGAAAAACCAGACAUGUCUGGCACAAUGGGAAAUGGAAUGUGAAUGCAGGGAGAGAAAACAAACGAUGAAGCAAAUGACGUGUUUAAAACCUGAAAAGCCUGAC
This is a long non-coding RNA of Gasterosteus aculeatus aculeatus (three-spined stickleback), 1002 nucleotides long. Lineage: Eukaryota; Metazoa; Chordata; Actinopteri; Perciformes; Gasterosteidae. The record is from Ensembl.